RNAcentral lists this ribosomal RNA (1542 nucleotides) under Escherichia coli. Its description in RNAcentral is "bacterial SSU rRNA". It matches the Rfam family "Bacterial small subunit ribosomal RNA". Lineage: Bacteria; Pseudomonadati; Pseudomonadota; Gammaproteobacteria; Enterobacterales; Enterobacteriaceae. The record is from RNAcentral.
AAAUUGAAGAGUUUGAUCAUGGCUCAGAUUGAACGCUGGCGGCAGGCCUAACACAUGCAAGUCGAACGGUAACAGGAAGCAGCUUGCUGCUUCGCUGACGAGUGGCGGACGGGUGAGUAAUGUCUGGGAAACUGCCUGAUGGAGGGGGAUAACUACUGGAAACGGUAGCUAAUACCGCAUAACGUCGCAAGACCAAAGAGGGGGACCUUCGGGCCUCUUGCCAUCGGAUGUGCCCAGAUGGGAUUAGCUAGUAGGUGGGGUAACGGCUCACCUAGGCGACGAUCCCUAGCUGGUCUGAGAGGAUGACCAGCCACACUGGAACUGAGACACGGUCCAGACUCCUACGGGAGGCAGCAGUGGGGAAUAUUGCACAAUGGGCGCAAGCCUGAUGCAGCCAUGCCGCGUGUAUGAAGAAGGCCUUCGGGUUGUAAAGUACUUUCAGCGGGGAGGAAGGGAGUAAAGUUAAUACCUUUGCUCAUUGACGUUACCCGCAGAAGAAGCACCGGCUAACUCCGUGCCAGCAGCCGCGGUAAUACGGAGGGUGCAAGCGUUAAUCGGAAUUACUGGGCGUAAAGCGCACGCAGGCGGUUUGUUAAGUCAGAUGUGAAAUCCCCGGGCUCAACCUGGGAACUGCAUCUGAUACUGGCAAGCUUGAGUCUCGUAGAGGGGGGUAGAAUUCCAGGUGUAGCGGUGAAAUGCGUAGAGAUCUGGAGGAAUACCGGUGGCGAAGGCGGCCCCCUGGACGAAGACUGACGCUCAGGUGCGAAAGCGUGGGGAGCAAACAGGAUUAGAUACCCUGGUAGUCCACGCCGUAAACGAUGUCGACUUGGAGGUUGUGCCCUUGAGGCGUGGCUUCCGGAGCUAACGCGUUAAGUCGACCGCCUGGGGAGUACGGCCGCAAGGUUAAAACUCAAAUGAAUUGACGGGGGCCCGCACAAGCGGUGGAGCAUGUGGUUUAAUUCGAUGCAACGCGAAGAACCUUACCUGGUCUUGACAUCCACGGAAGUUUUCAGAGAUGAGAAUGUGCCUUCGGGAACCGUGAGACAGGUGCUGCAUGGCUGUCGUCAGCUCGUGUUGUGAAAUGUUGGGUUAAGUCCCGCAACGAGCGCAACCCUUAUCCUUUGUUGCCAGCGGUCCGGCCGGGAACUCAAAGGAGACUGCCAGUGAUAAACUGGAGGAAGGUAGGGAUGACGUCAAGUCAUCAUGGCCCUUACGACCAGGGCUACACACGUGCUACAAUGGCGCAUACAAAGAGAAGCGACCUCGCGAGAGCAAGCGGACCUCAUAAAGUGCGUCGUAGUCCGGAUUGGAGUCUGCAACUCGACUCCAUGAAGUCGGAAUCGCUAGUAAUCGUGGAUCAGAAUGCCACGGUGAAUACGUUCCCGGGCCUUGUACACACCGCCCGUCACACCAUGGGAGUGGGUUGCAAAAGAAGUAGGUAGCUUAACCUUCGGGAGGGCGCUUACCACUUUGUGAUUCAUGACUGGGGUGAAGUCGUAACAAGGUAACCGUAGGGGAACCUGCGGUUGGAUCACCUCCUUA